CGAAAGGUGCUUGCACCUUUCAAGUGAGUGGCGAACGGGUGAGUAACACGUGGACAACCUGCCUCAAGGCUGGGGAUAACAUUUGGAAACAGAUGCUAAUACCGAAUAAAACUUAGUGUCGCAUGACAAAAAGUUAAAAGGCGCUUCGGCGUCACCUAGAGAUGGAUCCGCGGUGCAUUAGUUAGUUGGUGGGGUAAAGGCCUACCAAGACAAUGAUGCAUAGCCAAGUUGAGAGACUGAUCGGCCACAUUGGGACUGAGACACGGCCCAAACUCCUACGGGAGGCUGCAGUAGGGAAUCUUCCACAAUGGGCGAAAGCCUGAUGGAGCAACGCCGCGUGUGUGAUGAAGGCUUUCGGGUCGUAAAGCACUGUUGUAUGGGAAGAACAGCUAGAAUAGGAAAUGAUUUUAGUUUGACGGUACCAUACCAGAAAGGGACGGCUAAAUACGUGCCAGCAGCCGCGGUAAUACGUAUGUCCCGAGCGUUAUCCGGAUUUAUUGGGCGUAAAGCGAGCGCAGACGGUUUAUUAAGUCUGAUGUGAAAGCCCGGAGCUCAACUCCGGAAUGGCAUUGGAAACUGGUUAACUUGAGUGCAGUAGAGGUAAGUGGAACUCCAUGUGUAGCGGUGGAAUGCGUAGAUAUAUGGAAGAACACCAGUGGCGAAGGCGGCUUACUGGACUGCAACUGACGUUGAGGCUCGAAAGUGUGGGUAGCAAACAGGAUUAGAUACCCUGGUAGUCCACACCGUAAACGAUGAACACUAGGUGUUAGGAGGUUUCCGCCUCUUAGUGCCGAAGCUAACGCAUUAAGUGUUCCGCCUGGGGAGUACGACCGCAAGGUUGAAACUCAAAGGAAUUGACGGGGACCCGCACAAGCGGUGGAGCAUGUGGUUUAAUUCGAAGCAACGCGGAGAACCUUACCAGGUCUUGACAUCCCUUUGAAGCUUUUAGA
Molecule: ribosomal RNA, 950 nt
Filed under: Leuconostoc mesenteroides
Lineage: Bacteria; Bacillati; Bacillota; Bacilli; Lactobacillales; Lactobacillaceae
Description: bacterial SSU rRNA
Rfam family: Bacterial small subunit ribosomal RNA
Source: RNAcentral